GUGCCAGCGCCGCGGUAAUACGGAGGAUGCAAGCGUUAUCCGGAUUUAUUGGGUUUAAAGGGUGCGCAGGUUGUUUGAUAAGUCAGUGGUGAAAGUCUGUCGCUUAACGGUAGGAUUGCCAUUGAUACUGUUGGACUUGAAUAUGGAUGAGGUAGGCGGAAUGUGUAGUGUAGCGGUGAAAUGCAUAGAUAUUACACAGAACACCGAUUGCGAAGGCAGCUUACUAAUCCAUCAUUGACGCUGAGGCACGAAAGCGUGGGGAUCAAACAGG
RNAcentral lists this ribosomal RNA (271 nucleotides) under uncultured bacterium. RNAcentral describes it as "partial 16S ribosomal RNA". It matches the Rfam family "Bacterial small subunit ribosomal RNA", at positions 505 to 776 of the family's 1533-position model. The record is from RNAcentral.